CAGUCGCCACGGGAAAACGAAGGGGGCUAGCGUUGCUCGGAAUGACUGGGCGUAAAGGGCGCGUAGGCGGUCCGGAUAGUCAGAUGUGAAAUUCCUGGGCUUAACCUGGGGGCUGCAUUUGAUACUGUCGGGCUUGAGUAUGGAAGAGGGUCGUGGAAUUCCCAGUGUAGAGGUGAAAUUCGUAGAUAUUGGGAAGAACACCGGUGGCGAAGGCGGCGACCUGGUCCAUAACUGACGCUGAGGCGCGAAAGCGUGGGGAGCGAACAGGAUUAGAUACACCAGUAGUCCCUGUCUCUUAUAC
RNAcentral lists this ribosomal RNA (301 nucleotides) under uncultured bacterium. Its description in RNAcentral is "partial 16S ribosomal RNA". It matches the Rfam family "Bacterial small subunit ribosomal RNA", at positions 509 to 807 of the family's 1533-position model. The record is from RNAcentral.